Molecule: microRNA precursor, 136 nt
Filed under: Hordeum vulgare
Lineage: Eukaryota; Viridiplantae; Streptophyta; Magnoliopsida; Poales; Poaceae
Description: microRNA MIR1122
Rfam family: MIR1120/MIR1122 microRNA precursor family
Source: RNAcentral
CUAAUACUCCCUUCGUUCUAAAAUUCUUGUCUUAAAUUUAUCUAGAUAUGAAUGUAUCUAGUCACGUUUUAGUAUUUUGAUACAUUCAUUUCUAAACAAACUUAAGACAAAAAUUUUAGAACGGAGGGAAUAUAAA